ACAACGCUAAUAGACAAUUUUCAUGAAAAGUCUGUCAAGAGCUUAGUUAUUGAAGCCAUUCAGCGUUUGUCAACUUCCCCUUGAUGCUUUAAAAGUAACUGUAGUUGUAAAAAGACCCAAUAUGUGACUGUGGAAACAAAAAAUGACAGCGUCUUCGCCAGAAGACACUCAUGAUAUACAGGACCAAGUUGUGUUGAAAGUUUCAAGAUGGGAUAAACGUUUACAUCAAGAUUAGAUGAAACAAGUAAAGCAAGGUCUGCUGGUGAGAUGUUUUCGCUCCUGUUGUGUCUCUCGGGUUUAAUCAAUGGAGAGCUGUGUGGGUGACUACGAGAGGCCCUAUAGUUCUUUGAAAAUAC
Labeo rohita (rohu) is the source of this 356-nucleotide long non-coding RNA. RefSeq lists it as uncharacterized. The transcript has 3 exons. Lineage: Eukaryota; Metazoa; Chordata; Actinopteri; Cypriniformes; Cyprinidae. The record is from RefSeq and is a predicted model, not a curated record.